AUGUAAAGCAAACGUUCUCAUAGUUGUAUGGCAGCUGUGGCUAAGUCAGAAUGUUCAUUUACAGUGACAGGCCCACGUGUUGUGUUCUGGAAGAGGACGGAUGACUCUUCACUGGCUCAGUGGAAGGCAGCAGAGGGAAAAAGGAGGCUGCACCGUGUGGCAUGCGGGAUCUUAGUUCCCUGACCAGAGA
Balaenoptera musculus (blue whale) is the source of this 190-nucleotide long non-coding RNA. RefSeq lists it as uncharacterized. The transcript is spliced from 3 exons. NCBI's taxonomy places the organism in Eukaryota, Metazoa, Chordata, Mammalia, Artiodactyla, Balaenopteridae. The record is from RefSeq and is a predicted model, not a curated record.